AACCCAUUGUGAGGGCACCUUUUCAAUAAAUCCUUAUACCUCUCCCAUGCAUCAUAUAGAGUCUCUAAGUCAAUCUGCAUGAUGGAAGAGAUAUCGUUCCUCAACUU
This 107-nucleotide small nucleolar RNA is filed under the name Gossypium hirsutum (cotton). RNAcentral describes it as "Plant small nucleolar RNA R71". It matches the Rfam family "Plant small nucleolar RNA R71". From Rfam's summary of the family: R71 is a member of the C/D box family of snoRNAs containing the C (UGAUGA) and D (CUGA) box motifs. Lineage: Eukaryota; Viridiplantae; Streptophyta; Magnoliopsida; Malvales; Malvaceae. The record is from Rfam by way of RNAcentral.